UGGGGAAUUUUGGACAAUGGGCGCAAGCCUGAUCCAGCCAUGCCGCGUGCAGGAUGAAGGCCUUCGGGUUGUAAACUGCUUUUGUACGGAACGAAAAGACUCUGGUUAAUACCUGGGGUCCAUGACGGUACCGUAAGAAUAAGCACCGGCUAACUACGUGCCAGCAGCCGCGGUAAUACGUAGGGUGCAAGCGUUAAUCGGAAUUACUGGGCGUAAAGCGUGCGCAGGCGGUUAUAUAAGACAGAUGUGAAAUCCCCGGGCUCAACCUGGGAACUGCAUUUGUGACUGUAUAGCUAGAGUACGGUAGAGGGGGAUGGAAUUCCGCGGGUAGCAGUGAAAUGCGGAGAUAUGCGGAGGAACACCGAUGGCGAAGGCAAUCCCCUGGACCUGUACUGACGCUCAUGCACGAAAGCGUGGGGAGCAAACA
This 427-nucleotide ribosomal RNA is filed under the name uncultured prokaryote. RNAcentral's name for it is "bacterial SSU rRNA". It matches the Rfam family "Bacterial small subunit ribosomal RNA", at positions 355 to 774 of the family's 1533-position model. The record is from RNAcentral.